UACGGAGGAGGCGAGCGGUAUCCGGAAUUAUUGGGCUUAAAGGGUGCGUAGGCGGUCUGAUAAGUUAGUGGUAAAAUCGUGCCGCUUAACGGUAUCAUCGCAAUUAAUACUGUCGGACUUGAGUAAGGGUAAGGGAGAUGGAAUUCGUGGUGUAGCGGUGAAAUGCAUAGAUAUCACGAAGAACGCCGAUUGCGAAGGCAGUUGUCUGGCACUUAACUGACGCUGAGGAACGAAAGCGUGGGUAGCGAACAGG
Molecule: ribosomal RNA, 253 nt
Filed under: uncultured bacterium
Lineage: Bacteria
Description: partial 16S ribosomal RNA
Rfam family: Bacterial small subunit ribosomal RNA
Source: RNAcentral